RNAcentral lists this ribosomal RNA (301 nucleotides) under uncultured bacterium. Its description in RNAcentral is "partial 16S ribosomal RNA". It matches the Rfam family "Bacterial small subunit ribosomal RNA", at positions 509 to 807 of the family's 1533-position model. The record is from RNAcentral.
CAGUCGCCACGGUAAAACGAAGGGGGCUAGCGUUGUUCGGAUUUACUGGGCGUAAAGCGCACGUAGGCGGACUUUUAAGUCAGGGGUGAAAUCCCGGGGCUCAACCCCGGAACUGCCUUUGAUACUGGGAGUCUUGAGUUCGAGAGAGGUGAGUGGAAUUGCGAGUGUAGAGGUGAAAUUCGUAGAUAUUCGCAGGAACACCAGUGGCGAAGGCGGCCAUCUGGGACAACACUGACGCUGAGGCACGAAAGCGUGGGGAGCAAACAGGAUUAGAUACCCCAGUAGUCCCUGUCUCUUAUAC